AAUCAACGCUGGCGGCGUGCCUCAGACAUGCAAGUCGAACGCGAAAGCCCCCUUCGGGGGGCAAGUAGAGUGGCGCACGGGUGAGUAACACGUAGGUAAUCUACCUUUGGAUGGGGAAUAACCACCGGAGACGGUGGCUAAUACCGCAUAAUGCAGCGGCACCUAAUGGUGACAGUUGUUAAAGCGGGGGAUCGCAAGACCUCGCGUCUGAAGAGGAGCCUGCGGCAAAUUAGCUAGUUGGUAAGGUAACGGCUUACCAAGGCGAUGAUCUGUAGCCGGCCUGAGAGGGCGGUCGGCCACACUGACACUGACAUACGGGUCAGACUCCUACGGGAGGCAGCAGUCGGGAAUUUUGGGCAAUGGGCGAAAGCCUGACCCACCAACGCCGCGUGAAGGAUGAAAUCCCUCGGGAUGUAAACUUCGCAAGAACGGGAAGAAUAAGUAAGGGUUAAUAUCUCUUACAAUGACGGUACCGUUUGUAAGCUCCGGCUAACUCCGUGCCAGCAGCCGCGGUAAUACGGGGGGAGCAAGCGUUGUUCGGAUUUACUGGGCGUAAAGGGCGCGUAGGCGGCCACCGCAAGUCGACUGUGAAAUCUCCGGGCUUAACUCGGAAAGGUCAGCCGAUACUGCGGGGCUAGAGUGCAGAAGGGGCAACUGGAAUUCUCGGUGUAGCGGUGAGGGGCAACUGGAAUUCUCGGUGUAGCGGUGAAAUGCGUAGAUAUCGAAAGGAACACCUGCGGCGAGGCGGGUUGCUGGGCUGACACUGGACGCUGAGGCGCGAAGCUAGGGGAGCGAACGGGAUUAAAUACCCCGGGUAGUCCUAGCCUUAAACGAUGAUUGCUUUGGUGUCUAGGGGUUUUAUACUUCCCCGGGUUGCAGUUCGCCUACGCUUUUAAGCCAUUCCCCUGGGGGAAGUACGGUCGGCACGACUAAACUCAAGGGAUUGACAGGAGCGCACCUCAG
This 963-nucleotide ribosomal RNA is filed under the name uncultured Acidobacteriota bacterium. RNAcentral's name for it is "bacterial SSU rRNA". It matches the Rfam family "Bacterial small subunit ribosomal RNA", at positions 28 to 929 of the family's 1533-position model. The record is from RNAcentral. Lineage: Bacteria; Pseudomonadati; Acidobacteriota.